This 478-nucleotide ribosomal RNA is filed under the name uncultured bacterium. RNAcentral's name for it is "partial 16S ribosomal RNA". It matches the Rfam family "Bacterial small subunit ribosomal RNA", at positions 28 to 523 of the family's 1533-position model. The record is from RNAcentral.
GACGAACGCUGGCGGCGUGCUUAACACAUGCAAGUCGAACGGUAAGGCCCUUCGGGGUACACGAGUGGCGAACGGGUGAGUAACACGUGGGUGAUCUGCCCUGCACUUCGGGAUAAGCCUGGGAAACUGGGUCUAAUCCCGGAAGGGACCACUGCCUGCAUGGGGGUGGGUGGAAAGCUUUUGGGGGGUGGGAUGGGCCCGCGGCCUAUCAGCUUGUUGGGGGGGUGAUGGCCUACCAAGGCGACGACGGGUAGCCGGCCUGAGAGGGUGACCGGCCACACUGGGACUGAGAUACGGCCCAGACUCCUACGGGAGGCAGCAGUGGGGAAUAUUGCACAAUGGGCGCAAGCCUGAUGCAGCGACGCCGCGUGAGGGAUGACGGCCUUCGGGUUGUAAACCUCUUUCAGCACCGACGAAGCGCAAGUGACGGUAGGUGCAGAAGAAGGACCGGCCAACUACGUGCCAGCAGCCGCAGUAA